Molecule: RNA transcript, 3238 nt
Organism: Helianthus annuus (common sunflower)
Lineage: Eukaryota; Viridiplantae; Streptophyta; Magnoliopsida; Asterales; Asteraceae
Exons: 7
Source: RefSeq, a predicted model, not a curated record
UUUUUGAAACGCUUUCUUCCUUCACACAAUACCAUAUUUUCACAAACCCUAAAUCUGAAGAUCCUGUUUCUCUCUUCUUUGCAAUCGUAUACCCUAUGAUUCAGACUGCAAUUAAUCUGGCUCCAUCAUUCUUCGUCUUCUUAAUCGUCUAAUAGGAAAGUCAGUAUUCUUCAUUUCUCAAAAGCCUUUUGAUGACACAGGAAACCAUUUAUAAACCCUAACCAUCGGCGAAAGGCUUCAAUCGGAUCGUUCCUGGCUCAUUCUAUCGGAUCAACGUUUGACCUAUAACAUCAGUUUUACACGUGUACGUUGAAAGCUACAAUGGUUUACGGAUUUGCGGUACAAGUUUGGGACUGCAAAAAGAAAUCUAUGAAACUACCAAAGCAAUAUGAGGUGUGGAUUAACACAUUUAACUACCCUGUGAAGAAUGCGGUUAUUGGGACACUUGAUGGAAGGUUGUUUAAUGUAAAGGUGUUUAAGAUUGGAUGUGACUUCUUUUUUUACAAUGGAUGGAUAGAUAUGAUAACUGCAUUGAAAAUACCAUCCAAGUCAUGGUUGGUUUUCCAGUAUGAAGAAGCACUGGCUUGCUUUCGGAUCUUCUACUUUUAUCAGGAUGUUUCUCUUGCGCCUUCCGAUUACUUCUACUACAAAUCAGGAUGUGUCAAAGAUAGAGCUAAUUGCAUGCAUGCGAACAAAUAUUUUGUUCAUCAUAAGAUGCUUAAUACUGUUCCUACGUAUCCUGUUGUAGUCUGAACUUGUACAAACCGUAAAUGGUUUGUCCGUAUGGAUGACUUUGAAAAUGAGCUCUACGUAACAACUGGAUGGAAUCGGAUUAAGCAGGAGAUGUCUAUCACGGAUAACCAUUUGGUGGUGUUCGAAAUGCUUGAUAUGAAUACAUUUGAAAUGAGUGUUUUUAGUUGUGAUCUUGCCCUUUUGUGUUACCCUCCUGAACUCAGUGUUGUCAAAGAAGAACCAAACUAUGAUCCGAUUGAAAUUUCCGAUGAUGAAUCGGCUAAUCCGAUUGCUGAUCAUAUUGUUGAACAUAAUGAGGAUGAAGGGGUACCUAUUACUUUCCGUGUUGAUAAUCAUUAUCGACUUCGUAAAAAGCGGGCACAAGUUCCUGCUUUGGAUAGGAAGAUGGGUUUGACGAUUGAGGACGCUUUUGGUGGGGUUUGGGAGGUCCAGAUUGGUGUUGAGUACUUAGAAGAUCUGAUAUAACAAUCGAACGAUGAUUAUUCAUCCGACACAACUUUCUUCCAUCUUAAAUCUAAUGAACGUAAGAUCUUUAGUGAUUUGUGUUUCAGAUUCUACGAUUCCUUUCUUCAUCGAUUAUGGUUUUUUUUUUUCAAAAAUUGUGACAACCCGAACCCUCAAGGUUAGUGUCGUCCAACCUCGUAACUUUCAAUUUGGUAUUAUUCCUAUUGCACUAUUGUUCAAUCGUAUCGCAAACAGGAAUCACUAUUCGUAUUUACAUGUUUGGACCUUAAUUUCUACUUUGGGCCGUACCUUCAUUCACACAUCGGCUAAUACGAGCUCAUAUGCACAUACCCGAACCUUAUACGGGCCACAUAUUCAUGGUUGGACUUGCCGAGCCCAAACAAGUCCUACUUUGGGCCGGCUAUUAAGUUCUACUCCUAAUCUAAUUAGAUGAGCAUAAUCAUUGAUCUUUUGGUGUGGGCUUAGGCCCAGUUGGGUCAACUAGUAGAACCGCCUAGGUAAUGUUAUUUAAGUGCACGUAACCAGGAAUUUUACAUGUGCGUAACAAGGAAUCUUAUAACAAACCAAACCCUACAUCUUCUUGAAUGCGACGGACGUAGGAGACCCCCCCCCCUGUUCGAGAUAACACCCUUUGGCAGUCAAGUUUCUGGUUAGUGUUUAAUAAUUGUUAACCUUUAUGAUUGUGUGUGUAUAUGCUGCCGACAUUUGUGAUGAUGUAAUUGAACCAUAAAAGGGUCCAAUAGAUAGAUAAGGUUUUGAUGAUAUUGGUUGUGAGAUAUGACUAAUCUGACAUACAUGUAUGAGACUAAUAAUUGUGUUGUUGAUAAAUAGGUGAUCACAUGGGUAUACUUGUAGGUUAGUGAACUAAUUGGUCAAAUAACAUGAAGGCAUGUAAGCCUUAGAUUCGGUCCAAUCAUAUGAUUGUGAAACACCUUGAAUGUGCAACCAAUUGGAUAAGGAACACUCAUGAUUGUCGGCCAUUGUUGAUUGUCUUCAUAUGAUAAUGAAUUAUGUAUGAUUAUACUAGUAUGUCGGCCAUCAUGUCACCUAACAAACAGAACAUAAUUUGGAACAAUUUAAUAAUGAAUAUGUGCAGACCUCAUUAAUUAGACAACAUCAGAAACCAUAUGAUAUAUUAUCUUUAAUUUGAUUUAUAAUUGUGAUAGGGUUUGUGCAUGUGACCGUUUUUGAGGUGUUGAUCAUCUAGUGGACCGAGCAAAGGUCCAAUAGGGGGCGGCUUGGGUAUUGUAAUAAUUAAUUGUGUAUAUUGAUUGUGCUGUAUGUCAUGCAUGGAUUUGGGAGGUGUAAUUGGGGUACAAGGGUUGAAAUAAUAAUAUAUAACUCGGACUGGGGUCUGGUACGGCAAUUGGCAAGGGAGAAAUAAUAACGUUAUGAUGGGCUGAUUUCUUUGGGAUGGACUUGAUGUACUGGGCUGGGUAGCAUUUAUGGGUUAAACAAUAUUAGGUGGGCAUCUUGUGGGCUCGAGUACAAGCUGUACAGAAUGAUUUUACACAGUGUGGGUUGGGCCGUAUAGUGGGUCAGGAAUAGUGUGCGACGCACUGUUGGGCCGAGCGGGCAUUAGAUCGCACGUUUGAGACUUAGUCGUAUACUCUUAUUAUUAGGCCUCGAGUCAACUGGACCGCACACUUAGAUUAGGAAUAAUAUGAACUGUUAGGUGUCUAUUUGAAAUAUGGAUUUGUAAAGUAAACUUUUAUGGGGCACGAAUACUUGCUAUGUGUUAUACUAUGAAUUCUUGUAACUUGAUUGAGCUACUCGAUAACUGUUUGAAUAAUCAUUGUUCUUGCUUGAAUUGUUGCUUAACUGUUAUACGUGCCAUACGUGACAACCAUUGAUGGGAUCUAUGUGUAAACAAAUUGUAAAACUGAUCAUUACCAAACACUCUCCUAGGUCGCGAGUAUUGAAUAAAUUAACAAGUGAAAUAUUCUGCCGAGCAAAUCAAGGUAAUUAUUGAAGGAACUUGGGAGCUUGCCGUCUGAUGCUGCUGGAGUGGUUGUGGUCA